This 291-nucleotide long non-coding RNA is filed under the name Hordeum vulgare. Its description in RNAcentral is "long non-coding RNA (HVUL_LNC006770)". Lineage: Eukaryota; Viridiplantae; Streptophyta; Magnoliopsida; Poales; Poaceae. The record is from RNAcentral.
GGGCGCUUCUACAACUCAAAUAAAAAAAAACUCAAAACAGACGCCAGAAAUUCAAUUAUAUAGAGCAUAUGCAAAAACAUUUUAGAUAAAAAAGAUGAUUUGGUGAGCUUUGGCGAAUUUUUCCGUCAAGCAGACAUAAUCUGUUUCUGGACAGCAUGUCACAACUUUUGAACUUUCUUGCAAUCGGAGGCUAAAACUUGGCACAAAACAAAAUAAAAAGGAUAAGGAGAGGUUGAUAUAGAGGUAACAACUUACAAGACUCAAAGAAAACAAAAUAAACUGAAAGAAAAC